This 1030-nucleotide long non-coding RNA is filed under the name Coturnix japonica (Japanese quail). Its description in RNAcentral is "lncRNA (ENSCJPG00005002201.1)". The record is from RNAcentral. Lineage: Eukaryota; Metazoa; Chordata; Aves; Galliformes; Phasianidae.
CUUCAGGGAAGGAUAAAUUAUUGUGUUCAAAUAACAACUUCAACAGAGUAAAUGGGAGUCCUCACCCAGGGUGAAGGGCUAAUGAUCUUAAUUUAUAGCCUAAACUGAUAUAUUUCCAGAGUCACUGUGUGGCACACAUACAUCAAAUGCUACAGUGAGAUCUGACAGAAGUUUUUCAUCAUUAUUUUUUUAGUGAUUCUCAUUGAGUAGACAUAAAUAAAUAAAUAAAUAAAUAAAUAAUGAAUUAAUAAUUCAAUUAGUCUGCACUGUUGCUGAACUUCUACUGUAGUUUGCAUUGCAAUUGUUCUUUCAGAUUUGUAACAGAAUGCACUUUUUCAAACAUUUACCAUUGGUCACAUUUCGUUCAUUUUGUUUUAUGUCAAUAUUUCACGGUUCUCUAUGUAAAAAUAUUGGCUUUUGAUUGGGCUCAGCAGGCAUUCCUGUGACCAGUCUGACCAGCUGUCUUCCUUCUCUUGUGUUCACAGAUCAGACUUAUCUCACAGAAACAAAUGCUGCCAGGUGGUUUGUAUUAAUAAUGCACUGAAAGCUGCAUCCACAUCUGAUGUUUCUAUCCAUUCUUGCGGAAAAGGUUUAUUGUAAACCUUGAAUGUUCUUUUAUUUCCUCCUGUUGGAUUGGUCUUGAGGGCUUUUGAGGUACUUGAAGACUUACAGGCUAUCUCAUCUCAUCCACAAAGUGGAGGUCAGCGGUUCUAAAGAUGCUUUGUUGCUCUCUAAAUUUCACUACCCCUUUCAACACCUGAGUCACUGAGUCAACCAUAUCCAAACUACUCUACUGGACUCCUCAGUACCUCUGCACCAAUCCUACAUCCUUCCAUCUGGGACCAAGAGCAAGAGUAUACAUGGGUACAAGGCUGAACAGCAGCAUACGGCCAGCAAAGCCUUGAACAAACACAGCGUGGGAUGUGAACAACCUUCACUGCAAGAACAUGACGCAGAUAAACAGUGUCUCCCUGCAGUCCAAACAGAAGUUCUGAAUGCGAUCACUGACAAGAAGAACAGAAGUAAUUAA